GGGUUUUAGUUCGUGAAAUUUGUUGCUCGUUUGAACUGCUUGCGUCCUGUAUCGAGUUUUAUUGUUUUGCGUUUGUUACUUCACUUCGGAUUUCAGAUUCUUGAGAAGUGCGAGUUUUUGAAUCCAGGUGGAAGUAUGAAUGAUCGAGUCGCAGUUAAGAUCACUGAAGAGGGAAAAGAAGAAGAAAGCAAACCCACGUGGAAUUGAGCUCGUUUAGGUGGCGGUGGAGGUGGAGGCGGAGGCGGAAGAGUUGACUGAAGUAUUAGGAGGAAUUGUGACGAAAUUACCGUAUUAAGAGGGAAUUACGAGAGAAAGGAUGCAUCGGAUGUGAGCAUGUUAGGAAUUCAUGAUUAGUAUAUAUGAUGUCUGUUUCUAGUUUAUGCUUAUGAGUUUGGAAUGAAGUGUAUGAGUAUUCUUAGUCUACUAAUCUUUGUGGAAUCCCUGACCGACGCGCUGUGUGCUAAGUUAGGGAUAAUGAGUAUUCUUUGUGGAAGCCUUAGCACCCAAGGUUGUUGGGAAUUAGCUAACGAGCUUAAUAGACAAGAGAAUGGUUGGACCGA
Molecule: long non-coding RNA, 560 nt
Organism: Cucurbita moschata (crookneck pumpkin)
Lineage: Eukaryota; Viridiplantae; Streptophyta; Magnoliopsida; Cucurbitales; Cucurbitaceae
Exons: 2
Source: RefSeq, a predicted model, not a curated record